This 497-nucleotide ribosomal RNA is filed under the name uncultured bacterium. RNAcentral's name for it is "partial 16S ribosomal RNA". It matches the Rfam family "Bacterial small subunit ribosomal RNA", at positions 28 to 507 of the family's 1533-position model. The record is from RNAcentral.
GAUGAACGCUGGCGGCGUGCCUAAUACAUGCAAGUCGAGCGAACAGACGAGGAGCUUGCUCCUCUGACGUUAGCGGCGGACGGGUGAGUAACACGUGGAUAACCUACCUAUAAGACUGGGAUAACUUCGGGAAACCGGAGCUAAUACCGGAUAAUAUAUUGAACCGCAUGGUUCAAUAGUGAAAGACGGUUUUGCUGUCACUUAUAGAUGGAUCCGCGCCGCAUUAGCUAGUUGGUAAGGUAACGGCUUACCAAGGCGACGAUGCGUAGCCGACCUGAGAGGGUGAUCGGCAACACUGGAACUGAGACACGUUCCAGACUCCUACGGGAGGCAGCAGUAGGGAAUCUUCCGCAAUGGGCGAAAGCCUGACGGAGCAACGCCGCGUGAGUGAUGAAGGUCUUCUGAUCGUAAAACUCUGUUAUUAGGGAAGAACAAAUGUGUAAGUAACUAUGCACGUCUUGACGGUACCUAAUCAGAAAGCCACGGCUAACUACGUG